CAACCYGGUYGAUCCUGCCAAGGAAGCACACUUAGGUCAUAGAUUAAGCCAUGCAAGUGUUAGUUCAGGUAACGAAACUGCGAAUAGCUCAUUAACACACUCAGAAUCUAUUUGAUGGCGACUCACAGAGUCUUAAAUGGAUAGCAGGAGUAAAUCUCGUGCUAAUACAUGCAAGUUGUUUCACCAGACGUGAAUUAUGGUGGAAAAGUUGACCCUCACGGGUACAUCAUUCGACUGAGUGACCUAUCAGCUUGUACUUAGGGUCUUUACCUAGGUAGGCUAUCACGGGUAACGGGCGGUUACCGUCGUACUGCCGGAGAAGGCGCCUGAGAGAUAGCGACUAUGUCCACGGGCAGCAGCAGGCGCGAAACUUACCCACUCGAGACUUUCGGAGGUGGUAAUGACCAGUUCCAUUCGAACCUUUUGGUUCAGUGGAUAGGACCACAGUUUUCCACUGUGGUGAAACCUAGCAGAGGGCCAGUCUGGUGCCAGCAGCUGCGGUAAUUCCAGCUCUGCGAGUUUGCUCCCAUAUUGUUGCAGUUAAAACGCCCGUAGUCUGAACUCGGUCGCGAGACAAUAUGUGCAAUUGCACGUUCACUGUGAACAAAUCAGGACGCUUAGGGUAUGGUAUACACGAAUGACCUAGCGCAGUAUGAAAUCUUUGCUACGCAAGUASAAGCUCAAUGAGAGCCAUCGGGGGUGGAUCUAUUUCAUGGCGAGUGGCGGAAUACUUUGACCCAUGAGAGAGAAGCUAAAGCGAAGGCAUCCACCUAGAGGGUUUCUGUCGAUCAAGGGCGAGAGUAGGAGUAUCCAACCGGAUUAGAGACCCGGGUAGUUCCUACUGUAAACGAUGCCGACAGGGGAUUGCUCCUUUCAUUAGGGCAGCACCUUAGGAGAAAUCAUAGUUCAUGGGCUCUGGGGGAACUACGACCGCAAGGCUGAAACUUGAAGGAAUUGACGGAAGGGCACACCAGGGGUGGAGCCUGUGGCUUAAUUUGAAUCAACACGGGGAAACUUACCAGGACAAGAUGUAUUUUAUGACUGACAGGCUUAAGGUCUUUCAGGAUAUAGCUUUUGGUGGUGCAUGGCCGUUGGUGGUGCGUGGGUUGACCUGUCUAGCGUUGAUUCAGCUAACGAGCGAGAUUAUCGCCAAUUACCUACUCCAACGUGGUUUCCACGUUUGGAGUUCUAAUUGGGACUCCCUGCGUCUAAGCAGGCGGAAGAGGGUAGCAAUAACAGGUCCGUGAUGUCCUUUAGAUGCUCUGGGCUGCACGCGUGCUACAAUGUUAGGAUCAAAGGGCAGCUACCCCGAUAGGGGAAGCCACUCCGACAAUCCCUAACGUAGUUGGGAUUGAUGGUUGUAAUCACCAUCAUGAACCAGGAAUCCCUUGUAAAUGUGUGUCAACAGCGCACGUUGAAUACGUCCCUGCCCUUUGUACACACCGCCCGUCGCUCCUACCGAUUGGAUGACUCGGUGAAAUCACUGGACUGCAUGCAGGAAGGUGAUUAAAUCACGUUAUCUAGAGGAAGGAGAAGUCGUAACAAGGUAACGGUAGGUGAACCUGCAGAAGGAUC
RNAcentral lists this ribosomal RNA (1575 nucleotides) under Ditrichomonoides honigbergii. RNAcentral describes it as "SSU rRNA". It matches the Rfam family "Eukaryotic small subunit ribosomal RNA". Lineage: Eukaryota; Parabasalia; Honigbergiellida; Honigbergiellidae. The record is from RNAcentral.